This 786-nucleotide non-coding RNA is filed under the name Protambulyx ockendeni. The record is from RNAcentral. Lineage: Eukaryota; Metazoa; Arthropoda; Insecta; Lepidoptera; Sphingidae.
AAAUAAAUUUUUUAUGGUUUAAAAAAUUUAUUUAAAGUUUAUUUUACAUAUAAAUUUUAGUGUUGUUUAUUGAUUAUUUAAAUAAUAUUUAAUUUAGCGUAGUAAUUAAUUUUAAAAAUUUAAGAAAUUAAGAUUUAGUGAUAUUUGAAUUAAUAACUAAUUUUGUGCCAGCAGUUGCGGUUACACAAAGAUUAAUUUAAAUUUUUUUUGGUGUUUAAUUAAUAAAUUAUUAUGUAAAUAAUUUAAAAUUUAAAUUUUAAGGUGAAAUUUUAAUUUAAUAUAAAAUUAUUUAAUAUUUAUGAUUUGGUAAAUUUUAUGAAAAACUAGGAUUAGAUACCCUAUUAUUAAAAAUUUAAAUUAAUAAUACUUAAAUAGUAGAUAAUUAUUUAUUAAAACUUAAAUAAUUUGGCGGUGUUUUAGUUUAUUUAGAGGAAUCUGUUUAAUAAUUGAUAUUCCACGAAUAAAUUUACUUAAUUUAAUUAUUUUGUAUAUCGUUGUUAUAAAAAUAUUUUUUAAUAAUAUUAAUAUUUAAAAAUUUAAAUUUUUAAGUUAAAUCAGAUCAAGAUGCAGAUUAUAAUUAAGAAUAUAAUGGAUUACAAUAAAUUUAUUUGGUUAAAUUGGAUUUUAAUUUGAAAUGAUUAAAUAAAAUUGGAUUUAAAUGUAAUUUUAAAUAGAUUUUUAAAAUGAUUAAAUAUUAAAAUAUGUACAUAUUGCCCGUCGCUUUCAUUUAUAAAUUGAAAUAAGUCGUAACAAAGUAGAGGUACUGGAAAGUGUUUCUAGAAAGAU